Molecule: transfer RNA, 72 nt
Filed under: Bacteroidota bacterium
Lineage: Bacteria; Pseudomonadati; Bacteroidota
Description: Bacteroidetes bacterium (groundwater metagenome) tRNA-Arg
Rfam family: tRNA
About the family: Transfer RNA (tRNA) molecules are approximately 80 nucleotides in length. Their secondary structure includes four short double-helical elements and three loops (D, anti-codon, and T loops).
Source: RNAcentral
GUCCCUAUAGUUCAACGGAUAGAAUGCGGCCCUCCGGAGGCUGAGAUUCGGGUUCAAAUCCCGGUAGGGACA